RNAcentral lists this ribosomal RNA (484 nucleotides) under uncultured bacterium. RNAcentral describes it as "partial 16S ribosomal RNA". It matches the Rfam family "Bacterial small subunit ribosomal RNA", at positions 28 to 507 of the family's 1533-position model. The record is from RNAcentral.
GUUGAACGCUAGCGGCAUGCCUUACACAUGCAAGUCGAACGGCAGCACGGACUUCGUUCUGGUGGCGCGUGGCGAACGGGCGGGUAAUGUACCGGAACGUGCCCAGUCGCUGGGGCUAACUACGCUACAGCGUAGCUAAUCCCGCAUCCGCCCUACGGGGGAAACCAGGGGAUCGCAAGACCUUGCACUAUUUGAUGGGCCGAUAACGGAUUAGCUCGUUGGUUGGGUAACGGCUCACCAAGGCGACGAUCCGUAGCCGGUUUGAGAGGCCGACCAGCCACACUGGAACUGAGACACGGUCCAGACUCCUACGGGAGGCAGCAGUGGGGAAUUUUGGACAAUGGGGGAAACCCUGAUCCAGCAAUCCCGCGUGUGUGAUGAAGGCCUUCGGGUUGUAAAGCACUUUUGGCAGGAAAGAAACGACGCGUGUGAAUACCUCGCGAAACUGACGGUACCUGAAGAAUAAGCACCGGCUAACUACGUG